CCCUUAGAUGUUCUGGGCCGCACGCGUGCUACACUGAUGCAUUCAACGAGUUUCUUCCUGGUCCGAGAGGAAUGGGUAACCUUUUGAAAGUGCAUCGUGAUAGGGAUAGACUAUUGCAAUUAUUGGUCUUCAACGAGGAAUUCCUAGUAGACGUAGUUCAUCAGACUGCAUCGAUUACGUCCCUGCCCUUUGUACACACCGCCCGUCGCUCCUACCGAUUGAAUGCUCAGGUGAGCCAUUCGGACUUUCAUCAUGCUGGUUUCCAGUUUUGAUGAAGGAAAGUCUUGCGAACCUUAUCAUUUAGAGGAAGGAGAAGUCGUAACA
This 324-nucleotide ribosomal RNA is filed under the name uncultured eukaryote. RNAcentral's name for it is "partial 18S ribosomal RNA". It matches the Rfam family "Eukaryotic small subunit ribosomal RNA", at positions 1470 to 1796 of the family's 1831-position model. The record is from RNAcentral.